This 553-nucleotide ribosomal RNA is filed under the name Bifidobacterium bifidum. Its description in RNAcentral is "bacterial SSU rRNA". It matches the Rfam family "Bacterial small subunit ribosomal RNA", at positions 146 to 710 of the family's 1533-position model. Lineage: Bacteria; Bacillati; Actinomycetota; Actinomycetes; Bifidobacteriales; Bifidobacteriaceae. The record is from RNAcentral.
UCUCCUGGAAACGGGUGGUAAUGCCGGAUGUUCCACAUGAUCGCAUGUGAUUGUGGGAAAGAUUCUAUCGGCGUGGGAUGGGGUCGCGUCCUAUCAGCUUGUUGGUGAGGUAACGGCUCACCAAGGCUUCGACGGGUAGCCGGCCUGAGAGGGCGACCGGCCACAUUGGGACUGAGAUACGGCCCAGACUCCUACGGGAGGCAGCAGUGGGGAAUAUUGCACAAUGGGCGCAAGCCUGAUGCAGCGACGCCGCGUGAGGGAUGGAGGCCUUCGGGUUGUAAACCUCUUUUGUUUGGGAGCAAGCCUUCGGGUGAGUGUACCUUUCGAAUAAGCGCCGGCUAACUACGUGCCAGCAGCCGCGGUAAUACGUAGGGCGCAAGCGUUAUCCGGAUUUAUUGGGCGUAAAGGGCUCGUAGGCGGCUCGUCGCGUCCGGUGUGAAAGUCCAUCGCUUAACGGUGGAUCUGCGCCGGGUACGGGCGGGCUGGAGUGCGGUAGGGGAGACUGGAAUUCCCGGUGUAACGGUGGAAUGUGUAGAUAUCGGGAAAGAACACC